GAUGAACGCUAGCUACAGGCUUAACACAUGCAAGUCGAGGGGCAUCAGGAAGAAAGCUUGCUUUCUUUGCUGGCGACCGGCGCACGGGUGAGUAACACGUAUCCAACCUGCCCUUUACUCGGGGAUAGCCUUUCGAAAGAAAGAUUAAUACCCGAUAGCAUAAUGAUUCCGCAUGGUUUCAUUAUUAAAGGAUUCCGGUAAAGGAUGGGGAUGCGUUCCAUUAGGUUGUUGGUGAGGUAACGGCUCACCAAGCCUUCGAUGGAUAGGGGUUCUGAGAGGAAGGUCCCCCACAUUGGAACUGAGACACGGUCCAAACUCCUACGGGAGGCAGCAGUGAGGAAUAUUGGUCAAUGGGCGGUAGCCUGAACCAGCCAAGUAGCGUGAAGGAUGAAGGCUCUAUGGGUCGUAAACUUCUUUUAUAUAAGAAUAAAGUGCAGUAUGUAUACUGUUUUGUAUGUAUUAUAUGAAUAAGGAUCGGCUAACUCCGUGCCAGCAGCCGCGGUAAUACGGAGGAUCCGAGCGUUAUCCGGAUUUAUUGGGUUUAAAGGGAGCGUAGGUGGACUGGUAAGUCAGUUGUGAAAGUUUGCGGCUCAACCGUAAAAUUGCAGUUGAUACUGUCAGUCUUGAGUACAGUAGAGGUGGGCGGAAUUCGUGGUGUAGCGGUGAAAUGCUUAGAUAUCACGAAGAACUCCGAUUGCGAAGGCAGCUCACUGGACUGCAACUGACACUGAUGCUCGAAAGUGUGGGUAUCAAACAGGAUUAGAUACCCUGGUAGUCCACACAGUAAACGAUGAAUACUCGCUGUUUGCGAUAUACAGUAAGCGGCCAAGCGAAAGCAUUAAGUAUUCCACCUGGGGAGUACGCCGGCAACGGUGAAACUCAAAGGAAUUGACGGGGGCCCGCACAAGCGGAGGAACAUGUGGUUUAAUUCGAUGAUACGCGAGGAACCUUACCCGGGCUUAAAUUGCAGUGGAAUGAUGUGGAAACAUGUCAGUGAGCAAUCACCGCUGUGAAGGUGCUGCAUGGUUGUCGUCAGCUCGUGCCGUGAGGUGUCGGCUUAAGUGCCAUAACGAGCGCAACCCUUAUCUUUAGUUACUAACAGGUCAUGCUGAGGACUCUAGAGAGACUGCCGUCGUAAGAUGUGAGGAAGGUGGGGAUGACGUCAAAUCAGCACGGCCCUUACGUCCGGGGCUACACACGUGUUACAAUGGGGGGUACAGAAGGCAGCUAGCGGGUGACCGUAUGCUAAUCCCAAAAGCCUCUCUCAGUUCGGAUCGAAGUCUGCAACCCGACUUCGUGAAGCUGGAUUCGCUAGUAAUCGCGCAUCAGCCACGGCGCGGUGAAUACGUUCCCGGGCCU
Molecule: ribosomal RNA, 1359 nt
Filed under: uncultured bacterium
Lineage: Bacteria
Description: bacterial SSU rRNA
Rfam family: Bacterial small subunit ribosomal RNA
Source: RNAcentral